This 940-nucleotide ribosomal RNA is filed under the name Vibrio alginolyticus. RNAcentral's name for it is "bacterial SSU rRNA". It matches the Rfam family "Bacterial small subunit ribosomal RNA", at positions 55 to 974 of the family's 1533-position model. Lineage: Bacteria; Pseudomonadati; Pseudomonadota; Gammaproteobacteria; Vibrionales; Vibrionaceae. The record is from RNAcentral.
AUGCAAGUCGAGCGGAAACGAGUUAUCUGAACCUUCGGGGAACGAUAACGGCGUCGAGCGGCGGACGGGUGAGUAAUGCCUAGGAAAUUGCCCUGAUGUGGGGGAUAACCAUUGGAAACGAUGGCUAAUACCGCAUGAUGCCUACGGGCCAAAGAGGGGGACCUUCGGGCCUCUCGCGUCAGGAUAUGCCUAGGUGGGAUUAGCUAGUUGGUGAGGUAAGGGCUCACCAAGGCGACGAUCCCUAGCUGGUCUGAGAGGAUGAUCAGCCACACUGGAACUGAGACACGGUCCAGACUCCUACGGGAGGCAGCAGUGGGGAAUAUUGCACAAUGGGCGCAAGCCUGAUGCAGCCAUGCCGCGUGUGUGAAGAAGGCCUUCGGGUUGUAAAGCACUUUCAGUCGUGAGGAAGGUGGUGUAGUUAAUAGCUGCAUUAUUUGACGUUAGCGACAGAAGAAGCACCGGCUAACUCCGUGCCAGCAGCCGCGGUAAUACGGAGGGUGCGAGCGUUAAUCGGAAUUACUGGGCGUAAAGCGCAUGCAGGUGGUUUGUUAAGUCAGAUGUGAAAGCCCGGGGCUCAACCUCGGAAUAGCAUUUGAAACUGGCAGACUAGAGUACUGUAGAGGGGGGUAGAAUUUCAGGUGUAGCGGUGAAAUGCGUAGAGAUCUGAAGGAAUACCGGUGGCGAAGGCGGCCCCCUGGACAGAUACUGACACUCAGAUGCGAAAGCGUGGGGAGCAAACAGGAUUAGAUACCCUGGUAGUCCACGCCGUAAACGAUGUCUACUUGGAGGUUGUGGCCUUGAGCCGUGGCUUUCGGAGCUAACGCGUUAAGUAGACCGCCUGGGGAGUACGGUCGCAAGAUUAAAACUCAAAUGAAUUGACGGGGGCCCGCACAAGCGGUGGAGCAUGUGGUUUAAUUCGAUGCAACGCGAAGAACCUUAC